AAAAAAUAAAAGUUACGCAAUAAUUGAAUUUCCUUCGAAUAUGCUAAAGCGUUCUUUUAGUAAUACUUUGCCUUUAAGAAAAAUUACUUCAAGAAACUUAGAUAUACCAAAUAUUAUUGCUAAUGCUAGUGAUAACCGUGCCAGUGUUUAUUGGGACCGUACUCCCGAGAGCACAUGUACUAGCAAAUUCAACAAAUCGAUUAAAAACAAUAUAAAAAGAGAUUAUACACUAUUAUCAAAUAUACUAAAUGUUUAUUUUAUAUACACAGCCAUUCAUACAAAACCUAAGAAAAUACUAAAAAAUAAAAAUACAUUAAACUACGGUAGUUUAAAACAUAAAAACUUAUCAGAAAUUUACAAGAACAACACCAAAUUUCCCAAUGUUAACAGUAACCGUAGUACAUACUUGUUUGCUAACACUUGUAGAUUAUGUAACAAUACUAAUGAAUAUAUUAAUGACAAAAAAAAGAAUGGUAUUACUGAGGUUGCUCAACAUGGUAGAACAUGUGUCGAGUGUAGCUGUGGUAACAAUUUUAAUGCAGGGGGUGGAAGCAUUGACGUCGUAAAUAGUGAUAAUGGAAUUGGUAGUAGUAUUAGUGGCAACACCAGCAGUAGUAGUAGUAGUAGUAGUAGUAGUGGUGCCGUAAAUACUAAUAGCAUAAUCGGAAGUAGUAGUAGUGACAGCACCAGCAGUAGUAGUAGUAGUAGUGGCGCCGAUACAGAGAAAGUGCUCUACUUAGUGAACCCUAGGGGCUUUUGCAAAGGCGUCAGCAGAGCAAUCGAAACAGUAGAAGAAUGUCUAAAAAUGUUUAAAAAACCAGUUUAUGUAAAACAUAAAAUAGUACAUAAUGAUUUUGUCUGUGAAGAAUUAAAAAAUAAAGGAGCUAUUUUUAUUGAAGAUAUUAAUGAAGUGCCUGAUGGAAAUGUUUUAAUAUACUCUGCUCAUGGUAUUAGUCCACAAAUAAGAGAGCAAGCUAAAAAAAAAAAAUUAAUAGAAAUCGAUGCAACUUGCCCAUUAGUUAAUAAAGUACAUGUAUAUGUACAGUUAAAAGCAAAAGAAGGUUAUAAAAUUAUAUUAAUUGGUUAUAAAAACCAUGUAGAAAUAAUAGGAACAUAUAAUGAAGCACCACAUUGUACUUAUAUCGUAGAAAAUAUUAAUGAUGUUGAUAAAUUAGAUUUUAAAUAUAAUGAAAAAUUAUUCUAUGUAACACAAACAACUCUUAGUAUAGAUGAUUGUUAUCUAAUAGUACAAAAAAUAAAAAAAAAAUAUCCACAGGUUGAAACUAUACCUAGUGGCUCUAUAUGUUAUGCAACUACUAACAGACAAACAGCUCUAAAUAAAAUCUGUAUAUAUUGUGAUUUAACAAUAGUAGUUGGUAGUAAUUCAUCAUCUAAUGCAAAAAAAUUAGUUUAUUCCUCAGAAUCUAGAAACACACCUGCUAUUUUAGUAAACGAUAUUCACAGUUUUGAUACUAAUAUUAUUAAAAAUAAAAAGGCUGUAGCUUUAACAUCAGCUGCUUCAACACCUGAACACUUAACUCAACAAUUUGUUACUCUUUUGACUAGCCCACCAUUUAUGUAUAAUUUGAAAAUUGUCAAUGAUAUUAAAGAGGUAGUACCCAAAUGGAAACUACCCAAAAAUCUGUUAAACAUGAUCAAAGAUAAUGAUAAAGCUGAGAACA
Molecule: long non-coding RNA, 1682 nt
Organism: Piliocolobus tephrosceles (Ugandan red Colobus)
Lineage: Eukaryota; Metazoa; Chordata; Mammalia; Primates; Cercopithecidae
Source: Ensembl